RNAcentral lists this long non-coding RNA (2216 nucleotides) under Lactuca sativa (garden lettuce). RNAcentral's name for it is "long non-coding RNA (LSAT_LNC000828)". The record is from RNAcentral. Lineage: Eukaryota; Viridiplantae; Streptophyta; Magnoliopsida; Asterales; Asteraceae.
GGUAUGAUCGCACCCAAAAUACUAUCCAUGCUUAUUGUUUUUAUGUCUUACAAGUCGCAGAACCUCGUUUGCUUUCGUACGUGAGGCGUGGGACCCACGUGAGGGAUCAGCUCCGUUCUGGAAACACGAAAACAAUGAACACUGAACCGGAGGCCGCCCAAUCAUAGACAUAGCAAGAAAGAAAAAAAAACCGCACCUAAAACCUAAAAAAACGCAAACGGGCAACGAAAAAGGGGGUGCAACACGAGGACUUCCCAGGGGGUCACCCAUCCUAGUACUAUUCUCGCCCAACCACACUUAACUGCGGAGUUCUGAUGGGAUCCGGUGCAUUAGUGCUGGUAUGAUCGCACCCGAAAUACUAUCCAUGCUUUUUGUUUUUAUGUCUUACAAGACGCAGAACCUCGUUUGCUUUCGUACGCGAGGCGUGGGACCUAGGUGAGGGAUCGGCUCCAUUCCGGAAACACGAAAACAAUCAACAUUGAACCGGAGGCCGCUCGAGCAUAGAAAUAGCAAGAAAGAAAAAAAAAACCGCACCUAAAACCUAAAAAAACGCAUACUGGCAACGAAAAAGGGGGUGCAACACGAGGACUUCCCAGGGGUCACCCAUCCUUGUACUACUCUUGCCCAAGCACGCUUAACUGUGGAGUUCUGAUGGGAUACGGUGCAUUAGUGCUGGUAUGAUAGCACCCCAAAUACUAUCCAUGCUUAUUUUUUUUAUGUCUUUCAAGUCGCAGAACCUCCUUUGCUUUUGUACGCGAGACGUGGGACCCACGUGAGGGAUCGACUCCGUUCCGGAAACACGAAAACAACCAACAUUGAACCGGAGGCCGCCAGAGCAUAGACAUAGCAAGAAAGAAAAAAAACCGCACCUAAAACCCAAAAAAACGCAAACGAGCAAUGAAAAAGGGGUGCAACACGAGGACUUCCCAGGGGUCACCUAUCCUAGUACUACUCUCGCCCAAGCACGCUUACCUGCGGAGUUCUGAUGGGAUCUGGUGCAUUAGUGCUGGUAUGAUCGCAUCCGAAAUACUAUCCAUGCUUAUUGUUUUUAUGUAUUAGAAGACGCAGAACCUCGUUUGCUUUCGUACGCGAGGCGUGGGUCCUAGGUGAAGGAUCGGCUCCGUUCCGGAAACACGAAAACAAUCAACAUUGAACCGGAGGCCGCCCGAGCAUAAACAUAGCAAGAAGGAAAAAAAAACCGCACCUAAAACCUAAAAAAACGCAAACUGGCAACGAAAAAAGGGGGUGCAACACAAGGACUUCCUAGGGGGUCACCCAUUCUAGUACUACUCUCGCCCAAGCACGGUUAACUGCGGUGUUCUGAUGGGAUCAGGUGCAUUAGUGCUGGUAUGAUCACACCCUAAAUACUAUCCUUACUUUUUGUUUUUAUGUCUUACAAGUCGCAGAACCUCGUUUGCUUUGGUAUGCGAGGUGUGGGACCUACGUGAGGGAUCGGCUCCGUUCCGGAAACACGAAAUCAAUCAAUAAUUAACCGGAGGCCGCCCGAGCAUAGACAUAGCAAGAAAGAAAAAAAAACCGCACCUAAAACUUAAAAAAACGCAAACGGGCAACAAAAAAGGGGGUGCAACACGAGGACUUCCGACGUGGUCACCCAUCCUAGUACUACUCUCGCCCAAGCACGCUUAACUGCAAAGUUAUGAUUGGAUUUGGUGCAUUAGUGCUGGUAUGAUCGCUCCCGAAAUACUAUCCAUGCUUAUUGUGAUUAUGUAUUACAAGACGCAGAACCUCGUUUGCUUUUGUACACGAGCAGUGGGACCUAGGUGAGGGAUCGGCCCUGUUCCGGAAACACGAAAAUAAUCAACGUGGAACCGGAGGCCGCCCGAGCAUAAAGAUAGCAAGAAAGAAAAAAAAACCGCACCUAAAACCUAAAAAAACGCAAACGAGCAACGAAAAAGGGGGUGCAACACGAGGACUUCCUAGGGGGUCACCCAUCCUAGUACUACUCUCGCCCAAGCACGCUUAACUGCGGAGUUCUGAUGGGAUCCGGUGCAUUAGUGCUGGUAUGAUCGCACCCGAAAUACUAUCCGUGGUAAUUGUUUUUAUGUCUUACAAGACGCAGAACCUCGUUUGCUUUCGUACGCGAGGCGUGGGACCCACGUGAGGGAUCGGCUCCGUUCAGGGAAACACGAAAACGAUCAACAUUGAACCGGAUGCCGCCCGAGCAUAGACAUAACAAGAAAGGAAAAAAAAANNNN